RNAcentral lists this long non-coding RNA (835 nucleotides) under Vulpes vulpes (red fox). RNAcentral describes it as "lncRNA (ENSVVUG00000024570.1)". Lineage: Eukaryota; Metazoa; Chordata; Mammalia; Carnivora; Canidae. The record is from RNAcentral.
CUCAAAUUUUGUUUACACCAAUUGUACCUCACCAAGAACAUCAGCAAAAAUUCACGGAAAAGUUGUUCUGAAACAUUCCAUUGUCUGUUGCCGAUUCUGAGGGGAUAAGAGCUAGUCCAGUUCUUACAUCACAAUAUAUUCAUGUCAUGAAAGUGUUUCCUCUGGAUAGUUUAUAAGAUACAGAACUCACCAUCUCAGAUCCUGAGACAUUUCAUGGCUACUACCUGAAGUUACAAAGCAAUUUGCCACCACAUAGGCUGUAAGAGAAACAAACUGUCAUUCGAAACUCCUUGUAAUUCCUUUUGAAUCUCAUCAGGCUCUGGUGCAUGGUUUAGCCCAGAAGAAAAGCUGUUCCUGAAUGAAAAUGCUAGAAUCUUCCGACAGCCUAUAUGGGAAUGCUGUGGAUAAACAGAGGAUCCCUUUAUCACACGUAGCUUGUGAGCUGUGUCCUGCUUAAACCAUAACUGUCUACAAAUAAUACUCUUCAACUGAAAGUAGAUAUGCUCCCUUAUCUGCUAGAAAUACUCUUGUUCAGUAUAAUAAGAAGAGGCACCAUUCCCUACAGAGUCAUGCUUGGCUCCUCAGGUCAGGCCAUGCCUACUUACAUGUGCCAUUAUGUUACACUACAUUUACUUAAACAUAAGAUGAGAGAAUUGGGACAUCUCAUUGUUACAAGAAGGUCACAGUGUGCACUUACAGCACUUGAGUCAUGUGGAAUAUACAAAGAUGAGCAUCCAUAAAUACCAAACCAUAACACAAAUGCUUCAAUGGAGGUGUGCACGGAGGGUAGGAGCCCAGAGAGAAGUACAUACCAUGGCUCUGAAGGAAAUGUCUG